AACGAACGCUGGCGGCAGGCCUAACACAUGCAAGUCGAACGGUUGUAGCAAUACAUCAGUGGCGCACGGGUGAGUAACACGUGGGAACGUGCCCUUCACUACGGGACAACGUCGGGAAACUGACGCUAAUACCGUAUAAUGUCUCCGGACCAAAGAGUUAUCGGUGAAGGAUCGGCCCGCGUCUGAUUAGCCAGUUGGUGAGGUAAUGGCUCACCAAGGCGACGAUCAGUAGCUGGUUGGAGAGAAUGAUCAGCCACACUGGGACUGAGACACGGCCCAGACUCCUACGGGAGGCAGCAGUGAGGAAUCUUGGACAAUGGGCGCAAGCCUGAUCCAGCCAGGCCGCGUGAGUGAUGAAGGCCUUAGGGUUGUAAAGCUCUUUUGCCGGGGAUGAUAAUGACCGUACCCGGAGAAUAAGCCUCGGCUAAAUUCGUGCCAGCCGCCGCCGUAA
This 451-nucleotide ribosomal RNA is filed under the name uncultured bacterium. RNAcentral's name for it is "partial 16S ribosomal RNA". It matches the Rfam family "Bacterial small subunit ribosomal RNA", at positions 29 to 523 of the family's 1533-position model. The record is from RNAcentral.